GCCUGGGUGGCUCAGUCGGUUGAGCGACUGACUUCAGCUCAGGUCAUGAUCUCACGGUUCGUGGGUUCAAGCCUCGCAUCGGGCU
RNAcentral lists this transfer RNA (85 nucleotides) under Felis catus (domestic cat). It matches the Rfam family "tRNA". Rfam says of the family: Transfer RNA (tRNA) molecules are approximately 80 nucleotides in length. Their secondary structure includes four short double-helical elements and three loops (D, anti-codon, and T loops). The record is from Rfam by way of RNAcentral. Lineage: Eukaryota; Metazoa; Chordata; Mammalia; Carnivora; Felidae.